This 270-nucleotide ribosomal RNA is filed under the name uncultured bacterium. RNAcentral's name for it is "partial 16S ribosomal RNA". It matches the Rfam family "Bacterial small subunit ribosomal RNA", at positions 30 to 300 of the family's 1533-position model. The record is from RNAcentral.
AUUGAACGCUGGCGGCGUGCCUAACACAUGCAAGUCGAGCGGUAACGCGGGAGCAAUCCUGGCGACGAGCGGCGAACGGGUGAGUAAUGCUUCGGAAUCUACCCAGUAGUGGGGAAUAACCAACCGAAAGGUUGGCUAAUGCCGCAUACGACCUACGGGUGAAAGCAGGGGAUCGUAAGACCUUGCGCUAUUGGAUGAGCCGAAGUCGGAUUAGCUAGUUGGUAGGGUAACGGCCUACCAAGGCGACAAUCCGUAGCUGGUCUGAGAGGA